Molecule: ribosomal RNA, 605 nt
Filed under: uncultured eukaryote
Lineage: Eukaryota
Description: SSU rRNA
Rfam family: Eukaryotic small subunit ribosomal RNA
Source: RNAcentral
CGUAACGAUGCCACUAGCGAUCCGCCGGUGGAUUUUUAGCCCUGGUGGGUAGCUUCCCGGAAACGAAAGUCUUCCGGUUCCGGGGGAAGUAUGGUUGCAAAGCUGAAACUUAAAGGAAUUGACGGAGGGGCACCACCAGGAGUGGAGCCUGCGGCUUAAUUUGACUCAACACGGGGAAACUCACCCGGCCCGGACACCGUAAGGAUUGACAGAUUGAGAGCUCUUUCUUGAUUCGGUGGUUGGUGGUGCAUGGCCGUUCUUAGUUGGUGGAGCGAUUUGUCUGGUUUAUUCCGAUAACGAACGAGACUCUGGCCUACUAAAUAGAGACGGAAUUAUUACUGUUCCGGAUUCUUCUUAGAGGGACAAGUGGUUUUCAGCCACACGAAAUUGAGCAAUAACAGGUCUGUGAUGCCCUUAGAUGUCCGGGGCUGCACGCGCGCUACACUGAAGGAAUCAGCGUGCUAAAACCAUUGUCGAAAGGCAUUGGUAAACCCAUCAAAAUCCUACGUGAUUGGGAUCGGGAAUUGCAAUUAUUUCCCUUGAACGAGGAAUUCCCAGUAAGUGCGGGUCAUAAGCUCGCGUUGAUUACGUCCCUGCCCUUUGUA